CCUACGGGGUGCAGCAGUGGGGAAUAUUGGGCAAUGGGCGCAAGCCUGACCCAGCAACGCCGCGUGAAGGAAGAAGGCUUUCGGGUUGUAAACUUCUUUUGUCAGGGACGAAGCAAGUGACGGUACCUGACGAAUAAGCCACGGCUAACUACGUGCCUGCAGCCGCGGUAAUACGUAGGUGGCAAGCGUUAUCCUGAUUUGUUGGGUGUAAAGGGCGUGUAGGCGGGAAUGCAAGUCAGAUGUGAAAACUAUGGGCUCAACCCAUAGCCUGCAUUUGAAACUGUAUUUCUUGAGUGCUGGAGAGGCAAUCGGAAUUCCGGGUGUAGCGGUGAAAUGCGUAGAUAUACGGAGGAACACCAGUGGCGAAGGCGGAUUGCUGGACAGUAACUGACGCUGAGGCGCGAAAGCGUGGGGAGCAAACAGGAUUAGAUACCCCUGUAGUC
RNAcentral lists this ribosomal RNA (443 nucleotides) under uncultured bacterium. Its description in RNAcentral is "partial 16S ribosomal RNA". It matches the Rfam family "Bacterial small subunit ribosomal RNA", at positions 338 to 795 of the family's 1533-position model. The record is from RNAcentral.